UACGUAGGAGGCGAGCGUUGUCCGGAGUUACUGGGCGUAAAGGGUCCGCAGGCGGUUGGACACGUUUCGCGUGACAGUUCCCGGCUUAACUGGGAAAGUGCGUGGAAAACGAGCCGACUUGAGGGCAUGAGAGGAAUGCGGAAUUCCGGGUGGAGUGGUGAAAUGCGUAGAUAUCCGGAGGAACACCAAAGGCGAAGGCAGCAUUCUGGCAUGUACCUGACGCUCAUGGACGAAAGCUAGGGGAGCGAACAG
Molecule: ribosomal RNA, 252 nt
Filed under: uncultured bacterium
Lineage: Bacteria
Description: partial 16S ribosomal RNA
Rfam family: Bacterial small subunit ribosomal RNA
Source: RNAcentral